GCGUUUCACCCUGGAGAAGGAAUGUUGGCAGAGAUCACCACCACAUGGAAAGAGCUCUUAAAGCUGUUGGGCCUGAAAUUUUACUCAGCAGUUUGAAAUCAACCCUCAGCUUUCCUCAUCCACCCUCCAACUUGGGGCUAAUGCACAGGCAGGAACACCUAUGAGGAAAACCACAAAAAACUUCAAAAUAGCUACAACGGGAAAAAAGAGUUUUAUCCCAUGGUUAGCAGGCCACUAGUCUAUUAACUUCCAGUCACCUUGAUUUCUGCUGAAAUGAAGACUGCGCAGUCUAUACUUCUCCUGUUGCUGUUCAUGCCUCUGACAGAGCCAGCACCACCAACUCAGCAGGAUGCACCCAUUAUCUAUGAGUAUGGAACAGAGAAUUUUCAAGAAACCAAAUUUGGCCAAGAUUAUGAAGAUAAAUACCUGAUGGGGAAAAUAUUAAGGAAAAAAAAGCUAUGAUAAUUCCUGAUGAGAAAAGUUUUCAGUUACAAAAAGAUGAGACUGUAACACAAUUGCCAACCAAGAAAGAAAGUGAUGAAAUGCCCACGUGCCUGUUGUGUGUGUGUUUAAGUGGCUCUGUAUACUGUGAAGAAGUUGACAUUGAUGCUAUACCACCCUUGCCAAAGGAAUCGGCGUAUCUUUAUGCAAGAUUCAACAAAAUAAAAAAGUUGACUGCCAAAGAUUUUGCAGACAUGCGUAAGUUAAG
Non-coding RNA from Castor canadensis (American beaver), 709 nucleotides. The record is from RefSeq and is a predicted model, not a curated record. NCBI's taxonomy places the organism in Eukaryota, Metazoa, Chordata, Mammalia, Rodentia, Castoridae.